GGUGAUUUCCAGGCAUGUUUUCACUCUGCAGAUAUAAUAACAGUCAACAGACUCUUCUAUUGGCUCCAGUUAGACCAACAUUGAUGUUUCAUGUGUUUGAUUCUAUGCAAACUCAGUGACCUUCCUUGUUACUCAGCUAUAAAAACUUCCCAUCAGGCUGUCAGUGGAGUUCACAGCACGUCACUUUCAACAUAAACCAUGUUUUCUUUAGCUCUGCUGCUGCUGUUGGCAGCUGGAUCUGUGAAGUGUGAACAGUUGACACAGCCAGCCUCUGUGACUGUGCAGCCAGGUCAACGUCUGACCAUCACCUGUCAGGUCUCUUAUUCUGUUAGCAGCUACUGGACAGCUU
Molecule: long non-coding RNA, 349 nt
Organism: Micropterus salmoides (largemouth bass)
Lineage: Eukaryota; Metazoa; Chordata; Actinopteri; Centrarchiformes; Centrarchidae
Exons: 3
Source: RefSeq, a predicted model, not a curated record